This 557-nucleotide long non-coding RNA is filed under the name Musa acuminata (dwarf banana). RNAcentral's name for it is "long non-coding RNA (MACU_LNC002158)". The record is from RNAcentral. Lineage: Eukaryota; Viridiplantae; Streptophyta; Magnoliopsida; Zingiberales; Musaceae.
GCCUCUGAUGGUGCCUCGCACACCAACCUUCAUGCUGGCGGUGGUGGGAAGGCCUUCCAUGCAAGUGUUCUCGUCGGUCAACGCGGAGCUCACCCACGUCUGCAUGUCGUUGACGCGGAGCCGCAGGUCCUUGCCCUUGAGAUGCCCCAUCUCCUUGAGCGAGUCCCGGAGCUCCUCCACCGAGUUGCCCAUGUUCUCCAAGCAGUCGUUCAUGGCCUCCGCCUCCCUGGCGCCCACCCCGGCCCCGCUGCCUUUGAGCAGCUUGGUGAUGGUGGCGGCGGUAGUGCGCGCGCCGGUCAGGCUCACCGAGAGCGCCGCCUGAGCCAGUUGAACCGGGCUCCUCUGGAUCGUGGUCGCGUACGCUGACAGAGAGCUGAAGCAGAGGCUCGGGUACUGCGUCGCGCCGCAGGAAGAGCGGAUGAAGUUCAGGUUCUUCCCGCCGUAGGGUUCAGGUCUCGCCGCAGAACAAGUGCCGGCACUGACAGCCAAUGCUACAAGGAAGAUGAGAGCAACGAGAGAGCCGCUUCGGAAUGCCAUGGCUUCGUUGCAGAUGGAUC